This 1326-nucleotide ribosomal RNA is filed under the name uncultured Alphaproteobacteria bacterium. RNAcentral's name for it is "bacterial SSU rRNA". It matches the Rfam family "Bacterial small subunit ribosomal RNA", at positions 28 to 1379 of the family's 1533-position model. The record is from RNAcentral. Lineage: Bacteria; Pseudomonadati; Pseudomonadota; Alphaproteobacteria.
AACGAACGCUGGAGGCAUGCUUAACACAUGCAAGUUGAACGAUUUUGUGUUGAUAGCAAUAUUGAUGCAAAGUAGUGGCAAACGGGUGAGUAACACGUGGGAAUGUGCCCUUUAGUUCGGAAUAACGUUUGGAAACGAACGCUAAAACCGGAUGAGCCCGAGAGGGGAAAGAGAAAUCGCUAAAGGAGCGGCCCGCGCUAGAUUAGGUAGUUGGUGUGGUAAAGGCACACCAAGCCAAUGAUCUAUAGCUGGUCUGAGAGGACGAACAGCCACACUGGAACUGAGACACGGUCCAGACUUCUACGGAAGGCAGCAGUGGGGAAUAUUGGACAAUGGGGGAAACCCUGAUCCAGCAAUGCCUCGUGAGUGAAGAAGGCCUUAGGGUUGUAAAGCUCUUUUAUUAGGGAAGAUAAUGACGGUACCUAAUGAAUAAGCUCCGGCAAACUUCGUGCCAGCAGCCGCGGUAAUACGAAGGGGGCAAGCGUUGUUCGGAAUAACUGGGCGUAAAGGGUGAGUAGGCGGUUUAGUAAGUUUGGUGUGAAAUACUUGGGCUUAACCUGAGAACUGCACUGAAGACUGCUAGGCUAGAGAGUUGUAGGGGAUGACGGAAUUAUGCAUGGAGAGGUGGAAUUCAUAGAUAUGCAUAGGAACACCAGCGGCGAAGGCGGUCAUCUGGGCAACAACUGACGCUGAGACACGAAAGCGUGGGUAGCAAACAGGAUUAGAUACCCUGGUAGUCCACGCUGUAAACGAUGAAUGCUAGAUGUCGGGGUCUGAAGACUUCGGUGUCGCAGUUAACACAAUAAGCAUUCCGCCUGGGGAGUACGGUCGCAAGAUUAAAACUUAAAGGAAUUGACGGGGACCCGCACAAGCGGUGGAUUAUGUGGUUUAAUUCGAAGCUACGCGCAGAACCUUACCGGCUCUUGACAUGUGCCCUAAGCCUGACAGAGAUGACAGGUGCACCUCGGGUGGGGGCAACACAGGUGCUGCAUGGCUGUCGUCAGCUCGUGUCGUGAGAUGUUGGGUUAAGUCCCGCAACGAGCGCAACCCUCGCGUUUAUUUGCCAACAGUAAGAUGGGAACUAUAAACGGACUGCCGGUUAUAAGCCGGAGGAAGGUGAGGAUGACGUCAAGUCCUCAUGGCCCUUAUGGGCCGGGCUACACACGUAAUACAAUGGCCGCGACAAAGAGAAGCAAAAAGAGUGAAAUCUCGAGCAAAUCUCAAAAAAACGGCCUCAGUACGGAUUGUCUUCUGCAACUCGAAGGCAUGAAGUCGGAAUCGCUAGUAAUCGCAGAUCAGAAUGCUGCGGUGAAUACGUUCUCGGGU